RNAcentral lists this long non-coding RNA (1445 nucleotides) under Fukomys damarensis (Damara mole-rat). RNAcentral describes it as "lncRNA (ENSFDAG00000027517.1)". Lineage: Eukaryota; Metazoa; Chordata; Mammalia; Rodentia; Bathyergidae. The record is from RNAcentral.
CAGAACCGCUAAUUGGCUGAUCUCAAUGGGGACAAGACAAUGGUGGGAGCCGGUCUUCCCCAGCUCGGGGGUCUGCAGCCCACAGCUGCCAGGCAAACAAAGAGCCACUGUCACACUGUCACAUCUUCCAGAAGCAAGCUCGGCGCUGCCACGCUCACCUCCAGCAGCCGACGCUGCCCACAAAAGCAGCCCCUCACCCACCUGGCAGCUCUGCUCACCUGCCAGGAGCCGAUCCCCAAGCCCCAGGUGCUAUAGGAAAAGCACGCGCUGUCUUUGGAAUCAAAGACCUGGAAUGGCUUCACUUCUCUACACCUGGUUUUCUCUUUCUCUUUUCUUUUUUGCUUCCUUUUAUUUCUUUUUUUAUUUUAUUUUGUUUUGUGGUACUGGGGAUGGAACCCAGUGCCUACAAAUUGAGCUAUAUCCCUGAACCUUUCUUAUUUUUUAUUUUGAGAUAUUAAGUUGUCCGGGCUGAGCUGGAAUUUGCAACCCUCCUGCUUCAGCCUCUGAGAAUGCUGACAUUAAAGACUUCAUGAGACUCUUUGGCUGCAAAAACAACAUCGCUCCCAAAUUUAUCAAGAGAUUGCAACGAUGUGAUUUAUGUAGGACCCACCCGGAGUCUGCUUGGUGUACAGGGGCCUGGCUCAGCCUGUGGGGAGCUCCUUCCUGAAUUCCCACCCUCUAGGAACCUCAGGACUGUGGGUCCCUUGCCCUGUACCUCCUCCCCACCACCUCCUGCUCUGCCCCACAGGUGGCAUGAGGGACACUGUGCACUCCUAGGACUGCUGUCCUGUAUAGCGUGACCUGUGUAGCCCUGGAGAACUCCAAGGGCACAGAGGGGACGUCCCUGGGGCAGCCUUGUGCUGAUGGUCCCUUCCUGGCAGAGCCCGGUCCCUCGCAAGGUCCCUCUACCCAGGACUCCCAUGAAGCCUGUUAACUGCUCCCUUCUUCAUCCCUUCGGACCUAGGAUGGUGACACAGAGCUGCCAGCAGCCCCAGAAUGGUGCAGGGUUCCAACCCAUCACCCACCCCUUUAUCAACUGCCCUAUAAAUCAUCCUCGGGGAGCAAGCCAAGUGUUUCCUGUUUCUCCUCCUUUUUGUCUCAGUCCUCCAGGACUUCAGAACAAGCCCUGAAGUUAAAAAUCCCACCUCCUCCAAGAGGCCCUGCCAGAUUGCAGCUAUGCCAUCCCUUCCCUUCUGAAUCUCUUUGGCGUUAUGGGAGUUUUACUCUGUCCACCCGGUGGCCGUGUGGGCCCAUAUCUCCCCUCUCCACACGGCAGCAGCACCCUGAGGACAGAGCUGCACUCUAAUGCCUCUUUGCAAUUUCUAUUUCAGCCAAACCGAAUUUGCUGUAGCUUCGCUGGCACUCUUAAGGCCGGGCAUCUCCGCACGCUGUUCCCUCCUCCCCAGCACCCCAACACCACUGUAAAAUGCACACCCUCCCACGCC